RNAcentral lists this ribosomal RNA (583 nucleotides) under uncultured bacterium. Its description in RNAcentral is "bacterial SSU rRNA". It matches the Rfam family "Bacterial small subunit ribosomal RNA", at positions 102 to 681 of the family's 1533-position model. The record is from RNAcentral.
ACGGGUGAGUAAUGUCUGGGAAACUGCCCGAUGGAGGGGGAUAACUACUGGAAACGGUAGCUAAUACCGCAUAACGUCUUCGGACCAAAGUGGGGGACCUUCGGGCCUCACACCAUCGGAUGUGCCCAGAUGGGAUUAGCUAGUAGGUGGGGUAACGGCUCACCUAGGCGACGAUCCCUAGCUGGUCUGAGAGGAUGACCAGCCACACUGGAACUGAGACACGGUCCAGACUCCUACGGGAGGCAGCAGUGGGGAAUAUUGCACAAUGGGCGCAAGCCUGAUGCAGCCAUGCCGCGUGUAUGAAGAAGGCCUUCGGGUUGUAAAGUACUUUCAGUGGGGAGGAAGGCGAAGAGGUUAAUAACCUUUUCGAUUGACGUUACCCGCAGAAGAAGCACCGGCUAACUCCGUGCCAGCAGCCGCGGUAAUACGGAGGGUGCAAGCGUUAAUCGGAAUUACUGGGCGUAAAGCGCACGCAGGCGGUCUGUCAAGUCGGAUGUGAAAUCCCCGGGCUCAACCUGGGAACUGCAUUCGAAACUGGCAGGCUAGAGUCUUGUAGAGGGGGGUAGAAUUCCAGGUGUAGCGG